This is a non-coding RNA of Rhizophagus clarus, 75 nucleotides long. Lineage: Eukaryota; Fungi; Glomeromycota; Glomeromycetes; Glomerales; Glomeraceae. The record is from the annotation of a GenBank genome assembly.
GCCCGGAUAGCUCAGUCGGUAGAGCGUGAGGCUUUUAAAAACCUUAAGGCCGUGGGUUCGAGCCCCACUCCGGGC